UACGGGGGGGGCAAGCGUUGUUCGGAAUUACUGGGCGUAAAGGGCUCGUAGGCGGCCAACUAAGUCAGACGUGAAAUCCCCAGGCUCAACCUGGGAACUGCGUCUGAUACUGGAUGGCUUGAAUCCGGGAGAGGGAUGCAGAAUUCCAGGUGUAGCGGUGAAAUGCGUAGAUAUCUGGAGGAACACCGGUGGCGAAGGCGGUAUCCUGGACCAACACUGACGCUGAGGAGCGAAAGCCAGGGGAGCAAACGGG
RNAcentral lists this ribosomal RNA (253 nucleotides) under uncultured bacterium. RNAcentral describes it as "partial 16S ribosomal RNA". It matches the Rfam family "Bacterial small subunit ribosomal RNA", at positions 524 to 776 of the family's 1533-position model. The record is from RNAcentral.